This 1411-nucleotide long non-coding RNA is filed under the name Phascolarctos cinereus (koala). RNAcentral's name for it is "lncRNA (ENSPCIG00000006923.2)". Lineage: Eukaryota; Metazoa; Chordata; Mammalia; Diprotodontia; Phascolarctidae. The record is from RNAcentral.
ACUCCCUGCUGCCCGGGCUGUGCGCUGCAGGUGCUCGCGGGUUCAGCAGGGGUGCAGCACGGGGACCUUGCCCUUCUUCUCCCUGCCCAGGUGGCACGGCACCCUCCAGCCCGCUCCUCCUGGCCUGACAACGGGCUGCGAGCUUCUUUAGCCCAGAUUCUCCUCUGCUCCGCUGCCGCCGGCCACCCUGCCCGCCUACCUGUGCCGGACUGGUGCGCGCUCUCACUCUCUCUUCCUGGGAGACCAUCGACCAGAGCGCACGCAUUUUCGUGGGGGCGAAGGAGGAGGGCAUGGCCACCAGCGAGAAGGAGCGAUUUUCAGGACUGCUCUUCUUCUCGCUCUCCCGCGCCGAGAGAGCUCUUCUUUCCACCUCUAUGGCCAAAGAGAAGAACAGAUCAGGACCGGGGAGUCCGUUCCUUCAGCGGCUUUGAGACUUCCAGGUCUGGUGGGCCUUAGAGUAAAGAGAGAAUUGCAUGUUGAUACACCUUCUCUGCAUGGGGGAAAUGCCAAAAAGAUCCAGCAUCUGAAAGAAGAAUAAUCACUGCAGGCAAAUGUAACAGACACCAAGGUUCUCAGUCCAAGCUGGGAGUGCAGUGAUGAUCACAGGAUUGCCAGUGUUUGUUUUGUGAAACUGUAAACUGGGGAAGAUUUUUGCUUAGGGGGUUCAAGAUAAUCUAUUUAGCCAUGCUCUCUGGUCCAAGUAGAUAGAAACAGUACUAACAAGAGAGAUCAAAAAGAUUCAAGGGAUUUCCCAGUAUAAAGUCUUUCUUCCAUAAUCAUAAUAAUAACUGCCAUUGAUGGAGGAUCUUAGCAUUUGUAGAAUGCAAUACAUUCAUUAUCUUAUUUGAACUUGACACGCACUCGGGGAGGUGGUUACUCUGAGUAGCAUUUUGCACGUUUUUUUUUGUAGUUAAAAUUGAAGCUCAUUAAGGUUAAAUGUUUCCCCCAUGGAUGCACAGCUAGUAGAAGGUGGAGCUGGAUUUGGAGUUAGAUCUUCCCAGCCUCCAAGUCCAGCACUUCAUCCAUUGGGUGUCUUCUUACAUCAUUGUCUUCUUAUGUAGUCCUUUUCUUUCAGGAAUGUCAAAAGACUUCCCCUUGACAAGUUCACGGAUGUUUAAAAAUGUUCUUCAGAGGUGGACAGAGUUAAUUACUUUCCGGGAGACAAAAAUAAUGAAGCAGGCAGAUGUUAAGUGAUUUGCCAUCAUGAAGCCUUCCCCAGCCUUGUCUGCUGGACUCCUUCCUCAAAGGAGGCCCAUAUGGUAAGGUGGAAAGGUCACUGGACUUGAAGUCAGAGAGACCUGGGUUCAAAUCCUAGUGCCUGUGUGAACAUGGACGAGUCGCUUUAUCACACUGGGUUCAGUUUAGUCAUCUGUAAAUCAAGACAAUAACCAUUGUACUUCCUAUCUUUCAG